CGAGUAAGACAGACGGUCGCGUGGCGGCGGCGAAAGCCCCGUCAUGAGGAAAGUCCGGGCUCCAUAGGGCAAGGAUAACGGGUAACGCCCGCCGAAGGCGACUUCAGGAAAAGUGCAACAGAAAUAAACCGCAGAUUGUGGAUGCUUAAUGGGGUACUUGCGCAGUCGGGUAAUGGGGCCUUCGGCCCCAUUGCUUAAAUCGCGCUAACGGCCCCGUCGAGGGGCCGCGCGCGAUCACAGCGUGUCUGGCCCCUUGGACCAAACACGCUGUAAGGAUGGAAAGGCGAGGUAAGAGCUCACCCAUCGGCUGGAGACUGUCCGAUGCUGUAAACUCUAUCCGGAGCAACACCGUGGGAGGACAACAGAUCAUGCAACUGCCCCAUCGAGGGGCCGCGCAUGAUUUGAUUUUGUGCGUCCAAUGGCCGCACAAAAUCGAAGAUUGGCCCGAUCGUCCUCAAGGAGGUGGCUGGAGCGGCCCGGCAACAGGCCGCCUAGAUAGAUGACCGUCCAAUACAGAACCCGGCUUAUAGUCUUACUCGCAAA
RNAcentral lists this RNase P RNA (543 nucleotides) under Oscillibacter sp. RNAcentral describes it as "RNase P RNA component class A". It matches the Rfam family "Bacterial RNase P class A". From Rfam's summary of the family: Ribonuclease P (RNase P) is a ubiquitous endoribonuclease, found in archaea, bacteria and eukarya as well as chloroplasts and mitochondria. Its best characterised activity is the generation of mature 5'-ends of tRNAs by cleaving the 5'-leader elements of precursor-tRNAs. The record is from RNAcentral. Lineage: Bacteria; Bacillati; Bacillota; Clostridia; Eubacteriales; Oscillospiraceae.